AAGAACAGCUUGAGGCGACCAAAUAAACGCUCGAGGAAACUAAGAAUCGGCUUGUGCAAAAUGAGACUAAUCUUCUUAGCCUUUAGUAUAUUUGAAAACAAACUAUAUAGAUAUGGUGUUUCAUUUAACUUUUAGUAUUUUCAUUACUCUAGCAUUUAUAGUAUUUUGUAUGAAUAUUCAAGGUUUGAAGAUCUUAUGUUUUG
RNAcentral lists this unclassified non-coding RNA (203 nucleotides) under Hevea brasiliensis (rubber tree). Lineage: Eukaryota; Viridiplantae; Streptophyta; Magnoliopsida; Malpighiales; Euphorbiaceae. The record is from RNAcentral.